ACCGGGUGUGGCUCCCUGUCUGUCACCUUCCAUUCGCCAGUGAUCCUGUUGGGCCCCUGGAGCAGAUGCCCUUGAAUGCCAGUGUGAGGCAAGCAUUGGGGUGGUGGCCAUGGACAGACUCGCCAGUGUUCUUCUAGCACCAGGUUCUUCAGCUCCAAAUCAACAGCUGGGAAGGGAAACUUAUUCCUUGGCAUCUGCACAAAGGCCUCCCUGGGGCUUGGUGCUCCCCAUCCCCGCCACACACAUACAGCAUGGAUUUGAUUCUCCUGGGCCAGUGAGAAGAGCAACGCCAAGAUGUAAUUAAAGAUUUUGAGAUGAAGUGGUCAUCCUGAUUAUCCAAGUGAGCCUGAAAUCCAAUGACACAUGUCCUGAUAAAGGACACACAGAGGAAAAGACAGAAACAUGGAUGAAAAGGCAAAGUGAAGACAGAGCAAAGCCGUCCAAGCCAAGGAAUGCUGAUGGCACUAGAAGCUGGAAGAGGCAAGAAAGGAGCCUCUCCUAGGGCCUUCAGAGGGAGCGUGGCCCUGCUGACACUGCCGACACCUGGAUUUCGACUUCUGGCCUCCAGAACUGAAGGACCAUGUAAGAACAUAGCAAGAAGGCAGCCAUCUGCAGACCAGGAAGAGAGACCCCACCACAACCCAACCAUACCAGCACCCUGAUCUUGGGUUUCCAUAACUAUGAAAAAAUAAACUUCUGUUGUUUAAGCU
This 710-nucleotide long non-coding RNA is filed under the name Homo sapiens (human). RNAcentral describes it as "HSALNT0168892". The record is from RNAcentral. Lineage: Eukaryota; Metazoa; Chordata; Mammalia; Primates; Hominidae.